RNAcentral lists this ribosomal RNA (549 nucleotides) under Dermacoccus sp. Its description in RNAcentral is "bacterial SSU rRNA". It matches the Rfam family "Bacterial small subunit ribosomal RNA", at positions 242 to 803 of the family's 1533-position model. Lineage: Bacteria; Bacillati; Actinomycetota; Actinomycetes; Micrococcales; Dermacoccaceae. The record is from RNAcentral.
CAGCUUGUUGGUGGGGUAAUGGCCUACCAAGGCGACGACGGGUAGCCGGCCUGAGAGGGCGACCGGCCACACUGGGACUGAGACACGGCCCAGACUCCUACGGGAGGCAGCAGUGGGGAAUAUUGCACAAUGGGCGAAAGCCUGAUGCAGCGACGCCGCGUGAGGGAUGACGGCCUUCGGGUUGUAAACCUCUUUCACCAGGGACGAAGCUAACGUGACGGUACCUGGAGAAGAAGCACCGGCUAACUACGUGCCAGCAGCCGCGGUAAUACGUAGGGUGCGAGCGUUGUCCGGAAUUAUUGGGCGUAAAGAGCUUGUAGGCGGUUUGUCGCGUCUGCUGUGAAAGACCGGGGCUUAACUCCGGUUCUGCAGUGGGUACGGGCAGACUAGAGUAUGGUAGGGGAGACUGGAAUUCCUGGUGUAGCGGUGAAAUGCGCAGAUAUCAGGAGGAACACCGAUGGCGAAGGCAGGUCUCUGGGCCAUUACUGACGCUGAGAAGCGAAAGCAUGGGGAGCGAACAGGAUUAGAUACCCUGGUAGUCCAUGCCGU